Molecule: non-coding RNA, 72 nt
Organism: Bos taurus (domestic cattle)
Lineage: Eukaryota; Metazoa; Chordata; Mammalia; Artiodactyla; Bovidae
Source: Rfam
UCCCUGGUGGCUCAGAGGUUAAAGCAUCUGCCUGGAAUGCGGGAGACCUGGGUUCGAUCCCUGGGUUGGGAA